UACGAAGGGGGCUAGCGUUGUUCGGAAUUACUGGGCGUAAAGCGCGUGUAGGCGGGUCUUUAAGUCAGGGGUGAAAUGCCAAGGCUCAACCUUGGAACUGCCUUUGAUACUGGAGACCUUGAGUCCGGGAGAGGUGAGUGGAAUUGCGAGUGUAGAGGUGAAAUUCGUAGAUAUCUGGAGGAACACCGGUGGCGAAGGCGACGUCCUGGACCGGCAUUGACGCUGAGGCGCGAAAGCCAGGGGAGCAAACAGG
This 253-nucleotide ribosomal RNA is filed under the name uncultured bacterium. Its description in RNAcentral is "partial 16S ribosomal RNA". It matches the Rfam family "Bacterial small subunit ribosomal RNA", at positions 524 to 776 of the family's 1533-position model. The record is from RNAcentral.